This 247-nucleotide ribosomal RNA is filed under the name uncultured bacterium. RNAcentral describes it as "partial 16S ribosomal RNA". It matches the Rfam family "Bacterial small subunit ribosomal RNA", at positions 523 to 769 of the family's 1533-position model. The record is from RNAcentral.
AUACGAAGGGGGCUAGCGUUGUUCGGAUUUACUGGGCGUAAAGCGCACGUAGGCGGAUUGGUCAGUUAGGGGUGAAAUCCCAGAGCUCAACUCUGGAACUGCCUUUAAUACUGCCAGUCUCGAGUCCGGAAGAGGUAAGUGGAACUCCUAGUGUAGAGGUGGAAUUCGUAGAUAUUAGGAAGAACACCAGUGGCGAAGGCGGCUUACUGGUCCGGUACUGACGCUGAGGUGCGAAAGCGUGGGGAGC